Eriocheir sinensis (Chinese mitten crab) is the source of this 488-nucleotide long non-coding RNA. RefSeq lists it as uncharacterized. The transcript is spliced from 3 exons. The record is from RefSeq and is a predicted model, not a curated record. Lineage: Eukaryota; Metazoa; Arthropoda; Malacostraca; Decapoda; Varunidae.
UCAUUAUUAUUAGUAGUAUUGGUGGUAGUCGUUGCAGCAGUGUUAUCACCAUUAUCACCAUUACUGAUACAAUAAAAACAGAAGUGCAGCAGAAGACAAGUACAACAAUAGCCUGGUCUCUAGACAAUAAGAAACGAAAAGAUAAGAUAUGUGAUAGUAAUGGUGCCACCAGAGGCUUCCCGCAACUCGGAGGUCGCCUCGUCGCCGGCACCCUUUCCUUUACAGAGGCUUCCCGCAACUCGGAGGUCGCCUCGUCGCCGGCACCCUUUCCUUUACAGAGGCUUCCCGCAACUCGGAGGUCGCCUCGUCGCCGGCACCCUUUCCUUUACAGAGGCUUCCCGCAACUCGGAGGUCGCCUCGUCGCCGGCACCCUUUCCUUUACAGAGGCUUCCCGCAACUCGGAGGUCGCCUCGUCGCCGGCACCCUUUCCUUUACAGAGGCUUCCCGCAACUCGGAGGUCGCCUCGUCGCCGGCACCCUUUCCUUUAC